CCAACCCCUUGGCUACGUCCGCGAAAAAAGUCGAACAGCAUUUUCUUCUUCAAAAACGGCUGUUCAAGUCACUUAUGCAUCGACAGACCUGACGAGCUACCUUCAUUUCUCAAAAUUUCACGGCUGAAAGUUCACUUGCUACUUUCACCAUGACCUGCACGUCUGAUUGCAGAAAUUUAGUCCACCGAAAUGAUGUUAUGAAAACUGAAAAGCAGAUAAGAUAUAGGCACACGGUCUUGACUACACCAAAUGAAUGGUAAUUUAAUAUAAAAUAACAUGUCGCUCAUUUCUGCUCACAAUUCUAAUUCUAUAGUAAUUCAAUUGAUAUCCUUCAAUAUCUGCAAAGUGCAAACACAAGUUUGUAAUCUAUGUUUAUCACAGCAUUCACGCAUACUUCAUUAAUCUUAUGAGUGCUUCGUAUAUUUUCGUACAGAAUUUCUCAUAUGCAGCCUUAGUCAAAUGUAAGUAGUCCAACAUAUCUUUCGCUGAUAUCUUGCCUUCUCCGUCUACAAAGCCUGGAUCAGCAUUAAGAAAUGUCGCAUUUGGAAUAAUACUUAUUGAAGUUUCCAGUAAGCUGUUAAUAUCCAUGAUUUUAGUUCGUAGCGGAUUUCGAUUUUCACCUCGUGGCAACACAGCCUUUAUAGGAGAAUGAAAGAUCAGAAAUAAUCCGUUAAAAGAUGGAACAAGU
Molecule: non-coding RNA, 688 nt
Organism: Paramuricea clavata
Lineage: Eukaryota; Metazoa; Cnidaria; Anthozoa; Malacalcyonacea; Plexauridae
Source: the annotation of a GenBank genome assembly